RNAcentral lists this ribosomal RNA (859 nucleotides) under uncultured Methylomirabilota bacterium. RNAcentral describes it as "bacterial SSU rRNA". It matches the Rfam family "Bacterial small subunit ribosomal RNA", at positions 199 to 1034 of the family's 1533-position model. The record is from RNAcentral. Lineage: Bacteria; Methylomirabilota (SeqCode).
GACCAAAGGGGGCGAGCGUAAGCAGCUCUCACCGAAGGAGGAGCCUGCGUCCGAUUAGCUAGUUGGUGGGGUAAUGGCCUACCAAGGCGACGAUCGGUAGCCGGCCUGAGAGGGCGAUCGGCCACACUGGAACUGAGACACGGUCCAGACUCCUACGGGAGGCAGCAGUGGGGAAUAUUGCGCAAUGGGCGAAAGCCUGACGCAGCGACGCCGCGUGGGUGAUGAAGGCCUUCGGGUCGUAAAGCCCUGUCUGGUGGAACGAAACGCCCGGCGGCCAAUACCCGCUGGGUUUGACGGUACCACCGAAGGAAGCCCCGGCUAACUACGUGCCAGCAGCCGCGGUAAGACGUAGGGGGCGAGCGUUGUUCGGAUUUACUGGGCGUAAAGCGCGCGUAGGCGGCCAGAUAAGUCGGGUGUGAAAGCCCUCGGCUCAACCGAGGUUCCGCAUCCGAUACUGCUUGGCUGGAGUCUAGGAGAGGAGAGCGGAAUUCCCAGUGUAGCGGUGAAAUGCGUAGAUAUUGGGAGGAACACCCGUGGCGAAGGCGGCUCUCUGGACUAGUACUGACGCUGAGGCGCGAAAGCUAGGGGAGCGAACGGGAUUAGAUACCCCGGUAGUCCUAGCCGUAAACGAUGGGCACUAGGUGUGGGAGGUAUUGACCCCUUCCGCGCCGAAGCUAACGCAUUAAGUGCCCCGCCUGGGGAGUACGGCCGCAAGGCUAAAACUCAAAGGAAUUGACGGGGGCCCGCACAAGCGGUGGAGCAUGUGGUUCAAUUCGACGCAACGCGAAGAACCUUACCAGGGCUUGACAUCCCACGAACCUGCCUGAAAGGGCGGGGUGCCCGCAAGGGAGCGUGGAGA